RNAcentral lists this ribosomal RNA (424 nucleotides) under uncultured bacterium. RNAcentral's name for it is "partial 16S ribosomal RNA". It matches the Rfam family "Bacterial small subunit ribosomal RNA", at positions 360 to 776 of the family's 1533-position model. The record is from RNAcentral.
AAUCUUCCGCAUUGGACGAAAGUCUGACGGAGCAACGCCGCGUGAGUGCUGAAGCCUUCCGGGUCGAAACACCCUGUUGUUAGGGAAGAAGAAGUACGAGAGUACCUGCUCGUACCUUGACGGUACCUAACCAGAAAGCCACGGCUAACUACGUGCCAGCAGCCGCGGUAAUACGUAGGUGGCAAGCGUUAUCCGGAAUUAUUGGUCGUAAAGCGCGCGCAGGCGGUUUCUUAAGUCUGAUGUGAAGGCCCACGGCUCAACCGUGGAGGGUCAUUGGAAACUGGGGAACUUGAGUGCAGAAGAGAAAAGCGGAAUUCCACGUGUAGCGGUGAAAUGCGUAGAGAUGUGGAGGAACACCAGUGGCGAAGGCGGCUUUUUGGUCUGUAACUGACGCUGAGGCGCGAAAGCGUGGGGAGCAAACAGG